CCUACGGGAGGCAGCAGUGAGGAAUAUUGGUCAAUGGACGAGAGUCUGAACCAGCCAAGUAGCGUGAAGGAUGACUGCCCUAUGGGUUGUAAACUUCUUUUAUAAAGGAAUAAAACGAGGCACGUGUGCCUUUUUGCAUGUACUUUAUGAAUAAGGAUCGGCUAACUCCGUGCCAGCAGCCGCGGUAAUACGGAGGAUCCGAGCGUUAUCCGGAUUUAUUGGGUUUAAAGGGUGCGUAGAUGGGUUGUUAAGUCAGUUGUGAAAGGUUGCGGCUCAACCGUAAAAUUGCAAUUGAUACUGGCAGUCUUGAGUACAGUUGAGGUAGGCGGAAUUCGUGGUGUAGCGGUGAAAUGCUUAGAUAUAACGAAGAACCCCGAUUGCGAAGGCAGCUUACUAAACUGUGACUGACAUUGAUGCUCGAAAGUGUGGGUAUCAAACAGGAUUAGAUACCCCUGUAGUC
Molecule: ribosomal RNA, 460 nt
Filed under: uncultured bacterium
Lineage: Bacteria
Description: partial 16S ribosomal RNA
Rfam family: Bacterial small subunit ribosomal RNA
Source: RNAcentral